RNAcentral lists this long non-coding RNA (1400 nucleotides) under Homo sapiens (human). RNAcentral describes it as "CDKN2B and CDKN2A antisense cis and trans regulatory RNA 1, transcript variant 13 (CDKN2B-AS1)". The stretch from base 379 to 522 matches the Rfam family "CDKN2B antisense RNA 1 convserved region 3". The record is from RNAcentral. Lineage: Eukaryota; Metazoa; Chordata; Mammalia; Primates; Hominidae.
AGCUACAUCCGUCACCUGACACGGCCCUACCAGGAACAGCCGCGCUCCCGCGGAUUCUGGUGCUGCUCGCGUCCCCGCUCCCCUAUUCCCCUUAUUUUAUUCCUGGCUCCCCUCGUCGAAAGUCUUCCAUUCUUCAAACUAGAUUAUUUAAAAAUGAAAAAGGAAGAAAGGAAAGCGAGGUCAUCUCAUUGCUCUAUCCGCCAAUCAGGAGGCUGAAUGUCAGUUUUGAACUAAAAGCCGCUCCGCUCCUCUUCUAGAUUUGGAAAACAAGCGAAAUUAAACUAAACCGCUGCACGCCUCUGACGCGACAUCUGGACACGGCGCGGCGCUGGCGCUGCCGGAGCUGUCGACCCGGCCUGGCGCCGGACUAGUGUCCCUUUUGAUGAGAAGAAUAAGCCUCAUUCUGAUUCAACAGCAGAGAUCAAAGAAAAGACUUCUGUUUUCUGGCCACCAGAUAUAUGUUAUCUGUGCUUAAAGAAUUGAAAAACACACAUCAAAGGAGAAUUUUCUUGGAAAGAGAGGGUUCAAGCAUCACUGUUAGGUGUGCUGGAAUCCUUUCCCGAGUCAGUACUGCUUUCUAGAAGAAAACCGGGGAGAUCUAUUUGGAAUGUAUCUAACUCCAAAGAAACCAUCAGAGGUAACAGGAUGAUUACGGAGCUAGGAAUUUCCUACGAAGCUGGGUGAUAAAAGGACAUUGGACAAAAACACAGAUAGCUUCAUUCUAUACCAGGAUCCAUCACUGAUUAGCUGUAUUAUAUUUGUCUCUACUGUAAUUUGAGGAGAAUGAUACCUGCUUCUCUAUCUUGUUGGGUUUUACAGAUGAUGUAUUGAAAGUUCAAUAAAAUCUAUAAACAAUAGAUCUCUGUGGCUUGAAUGGUCCUCAGAUAUCUUGACCAAUGAUUCUCAAAUGCUUACCAUAGACCAUAAUUUUUCCCCACAUGACACUGCUUCAUAUUUUUAAGUUUUUUUUCACCAAAUAUUUUGUUUUACUAUCUCCAAGCCCUGAAACUUUUUUUCUCCCUCAAACAUGACUUCAACUUUACUAUCCUGGUCCCUUUCUAUUGAAUGUGUUUUGUUUGUGUCUAUAUUUCUUAUAGUGUCUUGAACUGAUUGUACUUACGAUAUGACUUGACUAGCAUAAGAUAGAAUAGGGCAGUCAUCUUCUUUGAUCUAGACUAGAUGCUAUCCUUCUAUUAAUGCAGUUGCUAGUUUUGUAUUUGCUUGCUUUCAAUUUUUUUUUUUCAGAUUUUGGUAACCACUGUUACUUGACUCGUAUCAAACUUAUCAGUAGCUAAAACCCCCAUUUUCCCUCUUCCUGUGCUUAUUUGACUAGUUUUGUUGCGCUUUCUGAAAUGUUUCUCACUUGUUUUUGACCAAAAAAAUAAAAAUAACAAAUGCCA